AGCAGUUCAUGAUGCUGCAGGCUUUGAUGACAUAGAAACAACAGAAUCUACAGAGAUGAUUAAGGUAAUGUGGAAGUCCAAUUAAUCUUCUUGGAAACAUAUCAUGAAAAGAAAUGCAGAUCAUAAUCUGCAUUCCACUUGAAGCAGGCCAGGGGGGAGGAACCUUGCUCCAUUGGAGGCAAACUUGCUGAUAAAAAAUGUGUUUCAUGUCACAACACCUCAUCUCCUUCCACUUGAAGCAGGAAGUCCAAACUUGCUUACUUCUGGUAUGAUGACAUGCAGUGUAUCCACCCCAAAAGUCUCCUAAACACAGCUGCCCUUGCCCAUGAACAAGACAACCUCAUCCAUAUCAUGAUCAGAACCCCUCUUGCCAAUCUCACUGCCUCCCUCUCUCAUCUCUCCGUUGCUUCCUUUAGAGAAAGAGAAGACACCCAGGGCUCACAUAUGUUCCUUGAUCUUUGAGAGUUGAGAUUUUGAGUUGCCAAAGGGCUCCAAAUUCCUGAAGCACAUUUAGGAAGGUGCUGCAAAAUCAGACAGGCAAACUUUUUGGUGAUUGAGACUCUGUGACUUGUGAAGAACCUGAAAGCUGUAUCAAAAGUCUGAAACUGAAGGAGCAUUUCACUUGCACUCUGAGUCGAGGUUUUCUGCGGUCUGCAACCUUAUUACAGUGGUAGAAUGGAAAGAAGAGAAAGGAGAACUUUGACUGAAAGACCAAGAGUGGAGUUCAUGAGGUCCCAAUCACAAGCCAAUGCCCCAAGAAGAUUUCAUUCAAGCUAUUACACUGUGGAAUCCUUCUUUAUCCUUCUCUGCCUCACAGUCUCACUGCUAAUUCUUCCUCUUAUAUUGCCACCAUUGCCUCCACCCCCUUUCUUGUUGCUGUUCAUCCCAAUAGGUCUGCUUUUUGUGCUACUGUUCAUGGCUUACAUGCCCUCACAAGCCCAGGAUGUCACCUCCCCCUACUUGGAAUGUGCUGAAACUUUCUCAUGCACAUGAAAUUGGCCAACUGCGCAGAUUUUGUAAUUUGUUUCAAAUCUAUUCUUAAUAAUGUUCAAUUGCAGAGUAAA
Molecule: long non-coding RNA, 1064 nt
Organism: Musa acuminata subsp. malaccensis (wild Malaysian banana)
Lineage: Eukaryota; Viridiplantae; Streptophyta; Magnoliopsida; Zingiberales; Musaceae
Source: RefSeq, a predicted model, not a curated record